AACGAACGCUGGCGGCAUGCCUAACACAUGCAAGUCGAACGAAGCCUUCGGGCUUAGUGGCGCACGGGUGCGUAACGCGUGGGAAUCUGCCCUUGGGUUCGGAAUAACAGUUAGAAAUGACUGCUAAUACCGGAUGAUGUCUUCGGACCAAAGAUUUAUCGCCCAAGGAUGAGCCCGCGUAGGAUUAGGUAGUUGGUGGGGUAAUGGCCCACCAAGCCGACGAUCCUUAGCUGGUCUGAGAGGAUGAUCAGCCACACUGGGACUGAGACACGGCCCAGACUCCUACGGGAGGCAGCAGUGGGGAAUUUUGGACAAUGGGCGAAAGCCUGAUCCAGCCAUGCCGCGUGCGGGAAGAAGGGCCUUCGGGUUGUAAACCGCUUUGUCAGGGAAGAAACGGACUCUGGGUUAAUACCCCGGGGUAAUGACGGUACCUGAAGAAUAAGCACCGGCUAACUACGUGCCAGCAGCCGCGGUAAU
RNAcentral lists this ribosomal RNA (477 nucleotides) under uncultured bacterium. RNAcentral describes it as "bacterial SSU rRNA". It matches the Rfam family "Bacterial small subunit ribosomal RNA", at positions 29 to 524 of the family's 1533-position model. The record is from RNAcentral.